This is a non-coding RNA of Pelobates cultripes (western spadefoot toad), 1061 nucleotides long. NCBI's taxonomy places the organism in Eukaryota, Metazoa, Chordata, Amphibia, Anura, Pelobatidae. The record is from the annotation of a GenBank genome assembly.
CAUCACAGUUCCCUCCCCUCUGCUCUGGAGGUAAUUGGGAAGUAAUUCAAUUAUCUCCCAGAGUAGAGGCAAAUCGCCAUUUUAACUCACAGUUACAAAACAUUAAAAUACAUAACUUUAUAACUGCCGAACGUAUUGCAUUCGUAUAACACAUCCCCAGAUAGCCUGGAUCGGAGUGCAUAUUAUUGGCAAAUAGCGCUCGGAUCCCAUACGCACAGUUCAAUCGCCAUGGAGUCAAAGUCUAUUACAGUUCUUCGGUAUGCGAUUGACUCCAUGGGAAGGCUAUCUGGGGUAAGUCCAUUCGUGUUGUUAAAUCUCCCGAACAGCCGGUAUUCGUAUGCUUUUGUUGAUUGAGAAGGGGAGGUCGACGGCUUCAGCGGUGUUCGGUUGAAAAAGUGUCCGUUUUGAGUUCUAUGAAAUAAUCGAACACCGCUGGGCUUUCGCAUAGUCAAAAUGGACGCCACCUCGUGGUCGACAUACGAACGACGACCACUCGGUAUUCGGUUUUAAUUGAGAAGUGUCUGUGGUUAACCGCAACGUUCUAAUUGGGAUCAAUAGGUUAACCAGCAGCACACUUCUCUUCUGGGUGGCCGUCCGUUCGGUAGUUCCGUUCGACAAAAAAAAAUACAUUCCCUUAAACAAGGCAUACGAAUGGGGAAAUUCAUGCAAACUGCAAAACAGACGAACACUGUACUUUUAGUCCAUAUGGAUGGGUCUGUCACAAAUUCCCUCUAUAAUUGUCCGUUUUGUCUGAAAUGUGUAGAGGGGAACGAUUCAGUCGCAAUGGGACACUGUCAAUAAAGUUGAAACAGUAAUAUGAACGCUGAAGUGCGUUCCAAGACUGGCACAACUGCAUUACACGAGUUUCAGCCACAACGGAAAUUAAAAUCAAGAUCGGGAGUCAGCAAUUUCCAAUUACCGACAGCAUAUAAAGAAACUACUGAUCCUGAAAGGAGAUGAGUAACUGAGUAAGCCUCUGUAGUAGGUUUAGCUCGUAUUGCUAUUCAUGUGAACACUACUGUAAGAUUUUUAAUUGUAUUUACAUUAAAUGUUUAUGUUUU